RNAcentral lists this ribosomal RNA (413 nucleotides) under uncultured Gammaproteobacteria bacterium. RNAcentral's name for it is "bacterial SSU rRNA". It matches the Rfam family "Bacterial small subunit ribosomal RNA", at positions 9 to 418 of the family's 1533-position model. The record is from RNAcentral. Lineage: Bacteria; Pseudomonadati; Pseudomonadota; Gammaproteobacteria.
GAGUUUGAUCGUGGCUCAGAGUGAACGCUGGCGGCAGGCCUAACACAUGCAAGUCGAACGGCAGCGCAGCAGUAGCAAUACUGUGGGCGGCGAGUGGCGGACGGGUGAGGAAUACAUCGGAAUCUACCUUGUCGUGGGGGAUAACGUAGGGAAACUUACGCUAAUACCGCAUACGAACUACGGUUGAAAGCGGCGGACCGCAAGGCGUCGCGCGAUUGGAUGAGCCGAUGUCCGAUUAGCUAGUUGGCGGGGUAAAGGCCCACCAAGGCGACGAUCGGUAGCUGGUCUGAGAGGAUGAUCAGCCACACUGGAACUGAGACACGGUCCAGACUCCUACGGGAGGCAGCAGUGGGGAAUAUUGGACAAUGGGCGCAAGCCUGAUCCAGCCAUGCCGCGUGUGUGAAGAAGGCCUU